GUCACAUUGGAGCCAGUUUCCCUCUGGCUGGUCCUGGAAGAUGAAUGAAGCAGGAGCCAGCAGGCUGACGCCUCCGUAUUUACGGGUGUCAAUAAGGUCUGAUGGGCACAUAGCCUCGCCCCUUUAUCAGUCUGCUCCUUGGGCCUGCUCUUACACCACCCCCAUAGAGUUGAGUAAUUGUCACGGAGGUCAAAUGGCCUGAAAAGCUGAAAACAUUUACUCUCUGGCCCUUUAUAGAAAAAGUGGCCAGUCCCUGGGGUAAGGCUAGAAGUAAUCAGAUGCCGCAGUGGUUCAAGCCUGGGCAGAGGGGCCAGAGGUGGAAGAGAGACAUGGCAGAACAUGGCACGCCGUCAAGACCUGUCUUCCAAUCUUGCAUCCUAUGCUUCCUGUCCGUAAGGAACUUUCUCUGCCAGUUCCCAAAUUCUCUUUGAACCUCAGUUGAUCUGUCUGUAAAAUAGGCUUAAUGAUGGAACCUUGCUCAUAGGAGUCAUUGAGGAUGACGGGAGAUUUUUGCAGCCACAUCCAUAGACACCUAGUUCGACUCAAUAUAGAAGUAGUUACUUGGGGCUGGGAGUGGAGCUGUAGCCGUGGAGGGCUUGUCUGGCGUGCGUGAGGCCCUGGGUUCCAUCUCCAGCUCUGCAAGGGCUUUCCUCCGUGUUUACAGGAAUCAUCUAAUUCUCCCUCUACCCAAGUGACUCUGCAAUCUCUCCCAUCAGGAUUUCUCCUCCCCUUGGAAACCGGAAUGGCACUGUGACCUUCCUUUAGUUGGUACGAUGUGGCUGAAGGGACCUGAGGACUGACCAAUGGAAAUACUUGAGCAAGCCCAGCCAAGAUUAGCCAAGCCUGACCCAGACCAGCAGAACCACCCAUCUGCCCACAGAUGGAGCAAUCCUGGAUAUUUUCUGUUUUAAGCCAUGGAAUUAGGGGACGUUUGUUGCUUGACAAAAACUGGCUUGAAUGUGCUAUGGUCUGAGUGUGUCCUCCAAGUUCAUCCCAAGGCAACAGUGUUGUGUGACGGUACCUUUAAGAUGUGGGCAGGUCAGGAGCUCUCUGCCUUCAUGGACGGGUUAGUGAUGCUGGGUGGAGGCAGGAGCUAGUUAUCACAGAAGUGGGGUUCUGAUGAAAGGAUGGGUUCAGCCCCCUCGCCGCUCUCUCUCUUGCCUGUUCUUUAGCCCUUCUGCCUUUGACCUUGGGGCAAUGCAGCAAGAAGGCCCUUGGCAGAUGUGGAUCCCUUAACCUUGAACUUUCCAGCCUCCAGAACAGUAAGAAGUAAAUCUCCAGUUUCUCAAAUAAAUUCCUCUGCUAACGGUGUGCUCAGCUGCAAAAGGAAAACAAAAAAAAACUAUGAG
Molecule: long non-coding RNA, 1349 nt
Filed under: Marmota monax (woodchuck)
Lineage: Eukaryota; Metazoa; Chordata; Mammalia; Rodentia; Sciuridae
Source: RNAcentral